This 162-nucleotide ribosomal RNA is filed under the name uncultured bacterium. Its description in RNAcentral is "partial 16S ribosomal RNA". It matches the Rfam family "Bacterial small subunit ribosomal RNA", at positions 1338 to 1500 of the family's 1533-position model. The record is from RNAcentral.
GUAAUCGCGGAUCAGCAUGCCGCGGUGAAUACGUUCCCGGGCCUUGUACACACCGCCCGUCACACCAUGAGAGUCGGGAACACCCGAAGUCCGUAGCCUAACCGCAAGGGGGCGCGGCCGAAGGUGGGUUCGAUAAUUGGGGUGAAGUCGUAACAAGGUAUC